RNAcentral lists this ribosomal RNA (750 nucleotides) under uncultured bacterium. RNAcentral's name for it is "bacterial SSU rRNA". It matches the Rfam family "Bacterial small subunit ribosomal RNA", at positions 44 to 777 of the family's 1533-position model. The record is from RNAcentral.
GUGCAUUUUUACUGNCAGNNUCGACGGUACGCNGGGGAGAAGCUUGCUUCUCUCCGGCGACGAGUGGCGAACGGGUGACUAUACAUCGGAACGUGUCCGCUCGUGGGGGACAACCAGCCGAAAGGUUGGCUAAUACCGCAUGAGUUCUACGGAAGAAAGAGGGGGACCCGCAAGGGCCUCUCGCGAGCGGAGCGGCCGAUGACUGAUUAGCCGGUUGGUGAGGUAACGGCUCACCAAAGCAACGAUCAGUAGCUGGUCUGAGAGGACGACCAGCCACACUGGGACUGAGACACGGCCCAGACUCCUACGGGAGGCAGCAGUGGGGAAUUUUGGACAAUGGGCGCAAGCCUGAUCCAGCUAUUCCGCGUGUGGGAUGAAGGCCCUCGGGUUGUAAACCACUUUUGUAGAGAACGAAAAGACACCUUCGAAUAAAGGGUGUUGCUGACGGUACUCUAAGAAUAAGCACCGGCUAACUACGUGCCAGCAGCCGCGGUAAUACGUAGGGUGCGAGCGUUAAUCGGAAUUACUGGGCGUAAAGGGUGCGCAGGCGGUUGAGUAAGACAGAUGUGAAAUCCCCGAGCUUAACUCGGGAAUGGCAUAUGUGACUGCUCGACUAGAGUGUGUCAGAGGGAGGUGGAAUUCCACGUGUAGCAGUGAAAUGCGUAGAUAUGUGGAAGAACACCGAUGGCGAAGGCAGCCUCCUGGGACAUAACUGACGCUCAGGCACGAAAGCGUGGGGAGCAAACAGGA